UGAAGUCGACGABCCUUCGGGUWCGUGGCGACGGGUGCGUACGCGUGGGAACUCUGCCCUUUGCUUCGGAAUAACAGUUAGAMAUGACUGCUAAUACCGGAUGAUGUCUUCGGACCAAAGAUUUAUCGGCAAGGGAUGAGCCCGCGUAGGAUUAGGUAGUUGGUGGGGUAAAGGCCUACCAAGCCGACGAUCCUUAGCUGGUCUGAGAGGAUGAUCAGCCACACUGGGACUGAGACACGGCCCAGACUCCUACGGGAGGCAGCAGUKGGGAAUAUUGGACAAUGGGCGCAAGCUGAUCCAGCAAUGCCGCGUGAGUBAUGAAGGCCUUCGGGUCGUAAAGCUCUUUUACCAGGGAUGAUAAUGACAGUACCUGGAGAAUAAGCUCCGGCUAACUCCGUGCCAGCAGCCGCGGUAAUACGGAGGGAGCUAGCGUUGUUCGGAAUUACUGGGCGUAAAGCGCACGUAGGCGGCGACACAAGUCAGRGGUGAAAGCCCSGGGCUCAACCCCGGAACUGCCUUUGGAACUAGGUUKCUAGAAUCUUGGAGAGGUCAGUGGAGUUCCGAGUGUAGAGGKGAAAUWCGKA
This 584-nucleotide ribosomal RNA is filed under the name Sphingomonas sp. S5-42. Its description in RNAcentral is "bacterial SSU rRNA". It matches the Rfam family "Bacterial small subunit ribosomal RNA", at positions 72 to 692 of the family's 1533-position model. Lineage: Bacteria; Pseudomonadati; Pseudomonadota; Alphaproteobacteria; Sphingomonadales; Sphingomonadaceae. The record is from RNAcentral.